AACUAACAACUUAACUUAACUUAACUUAACUUAACUUAACUUAACUUAACUUAACUUAACUUAACUUAACUAACUUAACUUAACUUAAACUAAGCGUAAUAGUGGUGUGAUGCUUACAAGCUGACGUUGAGCUCCAAUGAGCACAGGAGAGUGCCCUCAAACAAGUGGAUUUUGCUUGUUAGUGCCCCAUAUACCCCGCCAGCCACUCGAUUCCCUCACCGUUCAUUCAAGGUGGCCACCGAGGCUGACUUUCAAGGUAGCCGCCGAGGCUGACCUUCAGCGUAGCCGCCGAGGCUGACCUUCAAGGUGGCCGCCGAGGCUGACCUUCAAGGUGGCUGCCGAGGCUGACCUUCAAGGUAGCCGCCGAGGCUGACCUUCAAGGUGGCCGCCGAGGCUGACCUUCAAGGUGGCCGCCGAGGCUGACCUUCAAGGUGGCCGCCGAGGCUGACCUUCAAGGUGGCCGCCGAGGCUGACCUUCAAGGUAGCCGCCGAGGCUGACCUUCAAGGUGAUAGCCGAGGCUGACCUUCAAGGUGAUAGCCGAGGGUGACCUUCAAGGUGGCCGCCGAGACUGACCUUCAAGGUGGCCGCCGAGGCUGACCUUCAAGGUUGGCGCCGAGGGUGACCUUCAAGGUGAUAGCCGAGGGUGACCAUCCUCACUGACGCUCCGAGACACAGGGAGAAGAGAACUCGUGACCUUUUUAACCAUGCCAGGGAGGAACCAAACCAGAAACACAUUAAUAUCUCCUCCAUCAGUACCGUAUUAACCAAUCAAUACCCCGUGUGCACGGCGCCUCACCAUCACAUAUUAGCCCCUAAAACAUCUAGUCUGAGUUAGUGUAUCCGGCAGACAUUAAGAAUAACGGUCUUCACCAUUUACGUCUUAGAAGAAUAUAUGAACCUUACUGGUAAAAAGAUUAAGUACGUACUGGUGUGGUCACCCGAGUGAAUGAGUUUACAGAAUCAGUACACACACACACACACACACACACACACACACAC
Molecule: long non-coding RNA, 1000 nt
Filed under: Homarus americanus (American lobster)
Lineage: Eukaryota; Metazoa; Arthropoda; Malacostraca; Decapoda; Nephropidae
Description: uncharacterized LOC121869969, transcript variant X2
Source: RNAcentral